Betta splendens (Siamese fighting fish) is the source of this 674-nucleotide long non-coding RNA. RefSeq lists it as uncharacterized. The transcript is spliced from 3 exons. NCBI's taxonomy places the organism in Eukaryota, Metazoa, Chordata, Actinopteri, Anabantiformes, Osphronemidae. The record is from RefSeq and is a predicted model, not a curated record.
CAGGCACCUCGACGGCGGCCAGCGCUACCUGAGAUGACACCGCACACCUGACACCUGCGCGUGCGCGUGCACGGCAGCCCGCACGCUAUCCCGCACCACGCGAGGGGUCGUUUUACGUCAUCAAACAAACUGUUGGAAUUCAGCAACAGUUGGCGCGGACCGUCAACUUGUGCGUCGCGCGCACGCAGACGCCGCUCGCUGCGGGUUCUAACCUGAGCGGAGCCCCCACGGGACCGACGCGGUGUGUUGGCACGCGGGCUACUUCUACAACUGGGCACAGGACUGAGCCAAGCAUGCGUGAGGUUCCGACGUUGUCCCUCCAUCGUUCCUCUUCUGCUGCGACUGUCACUGGUUUUUCCAACAAACUAAAGAGUCGGUGAAGGAGGAACCUCAAGAAGUGAAUGUGAGAUACGCAUCUUGUUGCAUGGUCAACAGCUGGAAACGCUAACUGAAGCGUCAGAGUGGUCUUCAGCAGCCAACCACAGGAGUGAUGUGGCUGGUGUGGUUGUGUGUGACAGUGACACUCAGCUUUCUGUCAUGUUGCACGAUGGAGGCUGAGGAGAUUGAGAUGCUACAAACUCUUUAUUGUCCUGUGAGUAAAUCUGUGCAUCACUGUCCCUGCAGCGCUGCACAGAUCCAGUGACAGUUAACCCUUUUAUCUGCAUUAUGAAGAA